Molecule: non-coding RNA, 103 nt
Organism: Onchocerca volvulus
Lineage: Eukaryota; Metazoa; Nematoda; Chromadorea; Rhabditida; Onchocercidae
Rfam family: SL1 RNA
Source: Rfam
GGUUUAAUUACCCAAGUUUGAGGUAAUUGAAUGUUUCUGCCCAGAGUUUCGACUGCUGUGGCUUGAAGCGAAAUUUUGGAACGUCCUGCAUGAGCGGGACAAC